Molecule: ribosomal RNA, 661 nt
Filed under: Acarospora sp. EH-2022l
Lineage: Eukaryota; Fungi; Ascomycota; Lecanoromycetes; Acarosporales; Acarosporaceae
Description: partial small subunit ribosomal RNA
Rfam family: Bacterial small subunit ribosomal RNA
Source: RNAcentral
GCUAGUUGUAUUAUUAGUUAAUGCAAGAUCGACUACGUCGACUAAAGUUCUAGGUAGAAUAAUGAUGAUGACAAUUUUUUACCUAUAUGUCUUGACCAAGUCUCGUGCCAGCAGUCGCGGUAAUACGUGGAAGACUAGUGUUAUUCAUCUUUAUUAGGUUUAAAGGGUACCUAGACGGUAUUUCUAGCCCAAAAUAGGGUACGGAUUUACUAGAGUUUUAUGUGAGGAGGGGAGUACUCGUGGAGUAGAGAUGAAAUUUUGUUAUACUAUGAGGUAACUGGUGGCGGCGAAAGCAACCUUCUAUGUAUAAACUGACGUUGAGGGACGAAGGCUUGGGUAGCAAAUAGGAUUAGAUACCCUAGUAGUCCAAGCAGACAAUUCUGAAUGCCAUAGAUUAGAUUUUUUUUGAUCUAUAAAUGAAAGUGUAAGCAUUCCACCUUAGGAGUAAUGUGGCAACACAGGAACUGAAAUCAUUAGACCGUUUCUGAAACCAGUAGUGAAGUAUGUUAUUUAAUUUGAUGGUCCACAAAAAACCUUACCACAACUUGAAUAUUUUUUAAUUAAUACAAGCGUUGCACGGCUGUCUUCAGUUAAUGUCGUGAGAUUUUGGUUAACUCCAUUAAUUAACGUAAACCCUUACUUUAUUUAUUUUUUUUUUAUA